RNAcentral lists this ribosomal RNA (433 nucleotides) under uncultured bacterium. RNAcentral's name for it is "partial 16S ribosomal RNA". It matches the Rfam family "Bacterial small subunit ribosomal RNA", at positions 29 to 507 of the family's 1533-position model. The record is from RNAcentral.
AACGAACGCUGGCGGCAUGCCUAACACAUGCAAGUCGAACGAGACCUUCGGGUCUAGUGGCGCACGGGUGCGUAACGCGUGGGAACCUGCCCUUAGGUUCGGAAUAACUCCCCGAAAGGGGUGCUAAUACCGGAUAAUGUCUUCGGACCAAAGAUUUAUCGCCUUUGGAUGGGCCCGCGUUGGAUUAGCUAGUUGGUAGGGUAAAAGCCUACCAAGGCGACGAUCCAUAGCUGGUGUGAGAGGAUGAUCAGCCACACUGGGACUGAGACACGGCCCAGACUCCUACGGGAGGAAGCAGUGGGGAAUAUUGGACAAUGGGCGAAAGCCUGAACCAGCAAUGCCGCGUGAGUGAUGAAGGCCUUAGGGUUGUAAAGCUCUUUUAACCGGGAUGAUAAAGACAGUACCGGGAGAAUAAGCUCCGGCUAACUCCGUG